RNAcentral lists this long non-coding RNA (1154 nucleotides) under Numida meleagris (helmeted guineafowl). RNAcentral describes it as "lncRNA (ENSNMEG00000003259.1)". Lineage: Eukaryota; Metazoa; Chordata; Aves; Galliformes; Numididae. The record is from RNAcentral.
UUGGAACUGGGGCUCGGCUCCACACACCCCAUCGCGGCGCUGCGGCGGCCGGCAAUGCCUCUGCUCCUGCCCCUGCUCGGCUGCAGACUCUUGGCCGUGGAGCUGACAUCCAGCACCACCAAGCCCGUGCUGCAGGAAUUCCAGAGCGUGGAGCUGUCCUGCAUGGUUAAAUCCACCGUAACAGCAGAUAAAGCACUGUUUGAGUAUUUUUAUCCAAUCUGUUUUUAUUAAUAGAGUGAGCACUAUCAAUCAGGAAUAAAGAACAAUGGUAUCUUCUAAAUUCUGCAGACAUUAGCUAAAAUAACAGAACACUAGUAUCAAUAUGGGCCUAACAGAUAUAAGCUCACAAAGCUAGUAUAAAUACAAACUUGAGGAUAGAAGCUUGAAAGAAAAAGGGGAAACAAAAUAGGCUGCAGUGGUGCCGGGACCCACACUCGGGAUCAGAGGGUCCUGCUCCUCAUGUAGGACCGGCUCCUCUGCAGAAGAGGUGUGCGCGGCAGUGCCUCCAGCGGUCCCGCACCCACCGCCACAGCCUGGAGCAGCACUCCUGCAGGCACUGCCCGGCCCGGCACAGCCCCGAGGACACCCGCGGAUGGACCGUGCCCGUGGGCCCCCAGUGGGACCCUGUUGGGUUGGUCCUGCCUGGACCCGCUGUGAUGGUCCCGUCUGGAUCCACGGGGAUGUGUCUGCGAGGAUCCGUAGGGCUGAGCCUGCUGGGCUCCAUCAGGACGCUCUGGUCCCGCUCCUUUGGGGCGUUCCCAUCCAGUUCCUCCUGGAUGCGCCCAUCUGUGCCCAUGUUCAUGUCCACAUCUGUGUCCGUAUCAGAGUCCAAAUCCGUGUCAGUAUCUGAGUCCAAAUCCUUGUCCGUGUCCCCCUCCACCAGCUGCCACCUCCCAGUGCCAAGGACGUCCACCCGGAUGCGCAAAUGGAUCCUGGGCUCGGGCUCCAGGGCUGAGGUCUCCUGGGCCGGGAGCUCCUGGGCUGGGGGCUCCUGGGUUGGGGGCUCCCGGAGGGCCCCUGCCGCCCUCCGCCGCUCCAGCAGUGCCCGCAGCAGUUGGCAGCGGCGCUCGAUGGCCGCGUGGUUUUCACGUACAGCGCAGAGCAGCUCCCGGAUGAGCUCCAGGUGGGAGCCGUGGGGCGGGGGGGGCUCCGUG